RNAcentral lists this ribosomal RNA (252 nucleotides) under uncultured bacterium. Its description in RNAcentral is "partial 16S ribosomal RNA". It matches the Rfam family "Bacterial small subunit ribosomal RNA", at positions 524 to 776 of the family's 1533-position model. The record is from RNAcentral.
GACGAACCGUGCGAACGUUGUUCGGAAUCACUGGGCUUAAAGGGCGCGUAGGCGGGCUUGCAAGUCCGGGGUGAAAGCCCCCAGCUUAACUGGGAAGUGCCUUGGAUACUGCAAGUCUGGAGGGAGGUAGGGGCGUGCGGAACUUCCGGUGGAGCGGUGAAAUGCGUAGAUAUCGGAAGGAACACCGGUGGCGAAAGCGGCGCGCUGGACCUUUUCUGACGCUGAGGCGCGAAAGCCAGGGGAGCAAACGGG